Molecule: long non-coding RNA, 723 nt
Filed under: Oryctolagus cuniculus (rabbit)
Lineage: Eukaryota; Metazoa; Chordata; Mammalia; Lagomorpha; Leporidae
Description: lncRNA (ENSOCUG00000030020.1)
Source: RNAcentral
AUGCUCCUCUUCAUGCCAAGUACAAUGCAGGCGGUGUCACCUAAACAGCAGGAAGACAGCCAGGUACAACGCAGCAGUGUCACCUCUACAGCAGGAAGGCAGCCAAGUACAACGUGGGCAAUAGCACCUAUACAGCAGGAAGACAGCCAAGUACAACACAGCAGUGUCACCUAUACAGCAGGAAGACAGCCAAGUACAACACAGCAGUGUCACCUAUACAGCAGGAAGACAGCCAAGUACAACACAGCAGUGUCACCUAUACAGCAGGAGUACAACGUAGCAGUGUCACCCAUACUGCUGUUAGGAAGCCAGGUACAACACAGCAGUGUCACCUAUACUGCUGUAAGGCAGCCGGGUACAACACAGCAGUGUCACCUAUACAACAGGAAGACAGCCAGGUAUAACACAGCAGUGUCACCUAUACAGCAGGAAGACAGCCAGGUACAACACAGCAGUGUCACCUAUACUGCUGUAAGGCAGCCGGGGUACAACACAGCAGUGUCACCUAUACAGCAGGAAGGCAGCCGGGUACAACACAGCAGUGUCACCUAUACAGCAGGAAGACAGCCGGGUACAACACAUCAGUGUCACCUAUUCAGCAGGAAGGCAUGCAAGAGGUCUUCUUGGUGGGUUGGUGGCAGAUAUGACUGGAAGGAAAGGUUUGGGGCAACUUUUGGGAUCCUGGUAAUGUUCUGUUUGUUCAUCUGGGUGCCAGUCAUAUAG